Molecule: ribosomal RNA, 497 nt
Filed under: uncultured Sphingobacteriales bacterium
Lineage: Bacteria; Pseudomonadati; Bacteroidota; Sphingobacteriia; Sphingobacteriales
Description: bacterial SSU rRNA
Rfam family: Bacterial small subunit ribosomal RNA
Source: RNAcentral
GCCAGCCCGCUCAGAAACUCAAAGGAAGUUGACGGGGGCCCGGCACAAGCGGUGGAGCAUGUGGUUAAUUUCGAUGAUACGCGAGGAACUUACCUGGGCUCAAAUGUAUGUUGACGUAUUCUGAAAGGGAUACUUCUUCGGACAAUAUACGAGGUGCUGCAUGGUUGUCGUCAGCUCGUGCCGUGAGGUGUCGGGUUAAGUCCCAUAACGAGCGCAACCCUACCUUUAGUUGCCAUCAGGUAAUGCUGGGGACUCUAAAGGAACUGCCUACGCAAGUAGUGAGGAAGGCGGGGAUGACGUCAAAUCAGCACGGCCCUUACGUCCAGGGCUACACACGUGCUACAAUGGCCGAUACAGAGGGCAGCUACCUGGUGACAGGAUGCAAAUCUCCAAAGUCGGUCUCAGUUCGGAUCGGAGUCUGCAACCCGACUCCGUGAAGUUGGAUUCGCUAGUAAUCGCGCAUCAGCCAUGGCGCGGUGAAUACGUUCCCGGGCCUU